CUAAGCUAAGUUACCCGGAUUCCUGCCUCAGUACUGUUUCCCUCGCCUCUCUGUUGUAGGCUGUCCUGUGAGAGAUGCCCAAGUGACAAAGAGCUGAAAGCUAGAACUCAGGGAGAAGGGGCCUCUUAGCAUCUAUAGGCAUCAGAAACUGUGCCCACUAUGACAAGCCUUUGUGUGCCUGCUGCUCUUGCGCGCACCCACCGGCGCUGAAGACCCUGACGAUCGAGUCAACGGCUGUGAGAACUGAAGAGAACUGACUCAUACAUACCAUGCACAGCUUACUCUGAAAACUGUGGCUGAUACAGGAGGGCUUCUGGCAGGGGUACACAGAUCUCUGAAGUGAUCCUUUUAGCCUUGGCAAACGCAUCAGCACAGCGGCCUUGUUCAUUUUGUGCCAGGUCAAGAGCAAGCUCGCCCCUCGUGGACCCUCAGGCUCACGCAGUCUUGGUUCUGGGGAGCUGUCCUAGCCCUCUCACCAGAGCGUUCUAUCUCCACUACAAUCCCCCCCUCCUGUUUGGGCUUGUCCAUUUCUACUCCAUUCCCAAAAUACCCCAGGUGCACAUCAUAC
Molecule: long non-coding RNA, 568 nt
Organism: Mastomys coucha (southern multimammate mouse)
Lineage: Eukaryota; Metazoa; Chordata; Mammalia; Rodentia; Muridae
Exons: 2
Source: RefSeq, a predicted model, not a curated record